Molecule: non-coding RNA, 144 nt
Organism: Populus trichocarpa (black cottonwood)
Lineage: Eukaryota; Viridiplantae; Streptophyta; Magnoliopsida; Malpighiales; Salicaceae
Source: Rfam
UUUGGACUUCUAGAAAUUGAUAGUGUUUGGGCUGCAGGACAGAUUCAGACUUCUCUGUUGUUGCUACAAUUUGGACUUAAAAACGGUCUUUUUAAAUCUUAGACUCCAUAUGAAAAUUUUAGGCCUAUGUCUUAGCUUUCCAUC